RNAcentral lists this ribosomal RNA (60 nucleotides) under Penicillium sp. 2.3. RNAcentral describes it as "partial 28S ribosomal RNA". The record is from RNAcentral. Lineage: Eukaryota; Fungi; Ascomycota; Eurotiomycetes; Eurotiales; Aspergillaceae.
UUGACCUCGGAUCAGGUAGGGAUACCCGCUGAACUUAAGCAUAUCAAUAAGACGGAGGAA